RNAcentral lists this ribosomal RNA (460 nucleotides) under uncultured Bacillus sp. RNAcentral's name for it is "bacterial SSU rRNA". The stretch from base 1 to 238 matches the Rfam family "Bacterial small subunit ribosomal RNA", at positions 651 to 873 of the family's 1533-position model. Lineage: Bacteria; Bacillati; Bacillota; Bacilli; Caryophanales; Bacillaceae. The record is from RNAcentral.
GAAGAGGAAAGUGGAAUUCCAAGUGUAGCGGUGAAAUGCGUAGAGAUUUGGAGGAACACCAGUGGCGAAGGCGACUUUCUGGUCUGUAACUGACACUGAGGCGCGAAAGCGUGGGGAGGCAAACAAGGAGUUAGUAUACCUCGGUAGGUCCACGCCGUAAACGAAUGAGUGCUAAGUAGUUAGUAGGGUUUCCGGUCCCUUACGUUGCUGCAGCUAACGACAUUAAGUACACUCCGCCCUCGGGUGGGGAAGUUACCGGGUCACAAAGCUAAGAAACCUCGAAAAGGUAUUGGGACCGGGCCNCAACAGGCGGUGGAGUAUGGUUAGUUUAUCGUAUGACAACGCGAAACGUACCUACGAGUACUGACUAUGUCCGAGAACUCCAGGUAGAAACCAGAGGAGUCGUCCGUUGGGACGCGCGACGUUCGGUGGGAGACGAAGGCAACACGGAGGGUAGAGG